CGCUCAAUGACGUAACACGGGAUUGCGUCGCCUCACCACGUCUCGUUUGCAGCUUGAAUGAACCAUUCUACCGUGACAGAAAAGGUUAGACAACUAUGGGACGCCAAUUGGGCCAGAAAUGUCCAGGAUCGUACGCGCCCUGACAUCCCUGCAGAAGAGAUGAGCUUACCUGAUACAACUGCUGCCAUUGUUACUUACCUGGGAUUGCGCAGAGGCUGUCAUUUACAAAUAAAUGCAAAGCCACUGUUUCACUGUA
This is a long non-coding RNA of Erpetoichthys calabaricus (reedfish), 256 nucleotides long. RefSeq lists it as uncharacterized. The transcript has 2 exons. The record is from RefSeq and is a predicted model, not a curated record. Lineage: Eukaryota; Metazoa; Chordata; Cladistia; Polypteriformes; Polypteridae.